UUCCACGAGCCCUUCUUUUAUGGUUCUGUUUGCACGCUCAACAAGACCUUGAGAGGCUGCAUGAUAGACAGCCCCAAACUUGUGUUUUAUCCCAAACAUCUGUUCAACCAGACGUAGAUCAUCGUUUGAGAAGUGUGUUCCAUUAUCAGAUCUGAUAAUCUCAGGUACCCCAAACCGAGGGAUCACUUCUCUAGUGAGCCACUUGAUUACCUCUUUACCAGUCUCUGUUUUUUCAGGUGCAGUUACAA
Long non-coding RNA from Monopterus albus (swamp eel), 248 nucleotides. RefSeq lists it as uncharacterized. The record is from RefSeq and is a predicted model, not a curated record. The transcript has 3 exons. NCBI's taxonomy places the organism in Eukaryota, Metazoa, Chordata, Actinopteri, Synbranchiformes, Synbranchidae.